Molecule: non-coding RNA, 31 nt
Filed under: Mus musculus (house mouse)
Lineage: Eukaryota; Metazoa; Chordata; Mammalia; Rodentia; Muridae
Source: RNAcentral
UACACCCACCAUUAGGAGUCUCACAAAAACC